This 279-nucleotide ribosomal RNA is filed under the name uncultured bacterium. RNAcentral's name for it is "partial 16S ribosomal RNA". It matches the Rfam family "Bacterial small subunit ribosomal RNA", at positions 506 to 784 of the family's 1533-position model. The record is from RNAcentral.
UGCCAGCAGCCGCGGUAAUACAGAGGGUGCAAGCGUUGUUCGGAUUUACUGGGCGUAAAGAGAAUGUAGGCGGUAUUGAGAGUCAAAGGUGAAAUCCCCGAGCUCAACUCGGGAACUGCCUUUGAGACCUCAGUACUAGAGUGUGAAAGGGGCUAGCAGAAUUCCAGGUGUAGCGGUGAAAUGCGUAGAGAUCUGGAGGAAUACCUGUGGCGAAGGCGGCUAGCUGGUUCAUGACUGACGCUGAGAUUCGAAAGCGUGGGGAGCAAACAGGAUUAGAUA